GUGAGGAAGAGGAAGGUGUUCAAAGGAGAUCAAUACCAGAUAUUACAGAAGAGUAACAUGAAUGCUGGAGAGGUGCCAGAAGAACUAACAGCUAAUUCAGAGAUCGAGGAAGCUUUCCCUGAAUAAGUGUUUGGACAGCCCUAUUUUUGGCCCUGGUCCCACAUGUGAAGAUCCGCGUCAUUAGUGGCCCACAACUUGCAGCUGCUUUGCAAAAGGCUCACGUGUGUCUGGGAGGGCAUCUCAUUCCUCUGGAUAAUUUGUCAAAGAGGAAUGGGUUGAACUGCGCCAUGGUCCUUGGUUGCUUCAUUUGCCAGAAGGAGAAGGACAUUCUCUUCAUCAGAAAAUGAAUGCGAAGGACGUGGAAAGUCUGCAGAAAUAAACCGCAGAGCUACUCUGGCAGCAACGGAGGUUGGUUUGGCACGGGAUAGCUUGUGCAACUUGCUGACCAUCUUCUGAACAGCCCCACUAGUCGAAGCCCCUAGCUACAACAGGCACAUAGCCACUUUAUCUUCCUUAUCCCAAGAGACCAGUAAGGAUCAGAAGAAGAAGGUGGCAGCAUGCCUACGUCAAAGGGCCAUGGACAAGGAUCUGACCAUCAGGGAAAAUGAUCAUGUGGACGUGGCAGUGCCCUACGAUGGAACAUGGCAUAGACGAGGUUACACAUCGAAUCAUGGGGUGGGGGUAGUGAUACCGAUCGAUACAGGGGAGAUUGUUUUACACAGAGGGUCUAUCAAAAUCAUGUAAACAGUUUGAGUAU
Long non-coding RNA from Strongylocentrotus purpuratus (purple sea urchin), 757 nucleotides. RefSeq lists it as uncharacterized. Lineage: Eukaryota; Metazoa; Echinodermata; Echinoidea; Camarodonta; Strongylocentrotidae. The record is from RefSeq and is a predicted model, not a curated record. The transcript is spliced from 3 exons.